This 302-nucleotide unclassified non-coding RNA is filed under the name Hevea brasiliensis (rubber tree). The record is from RNAcentral. Lineage: Eukaryota; Viridiplantae; Streptophyta; Magnoliopsida; Malpighiales; Euphorbiaceae.
UAUGAGAGAAUAUAGCAGCUUAAAGGGAGCUAAGAAAAAGAUUCAUUAGAUUCCACUUCCAUACUACUACAAGAAACAACUACCUUAACUCCCAAACUAGAACUAUCAAUAGUGCAGAAUAGGUGUCCUUGAUGAAUAGCCUCCACAUCAAUGCCAAUAUCCAUACCAUAUAGAUCAACUUUAGAUGGAAAACAAAAAGGAAAUAUCAACAUUAGAAGAUGUAUACUCACCCCCCCCCUUUUUUUUUCUUCCUAGUCAUGCACACGAGCAAGAAGUCUAACUUCAAGGAUCAAAUGAUCAGG